RNAcentral lists this ribosomal RNA (464 nucleotides) under uncultured bacterium. RNAcentral describes it as "bacterial SSU rRNA". It matches the Rfam family "Bacterial small subunit ribosomal RNA", at positions 330 to 792 of the family's 1533-position model. The record is from RNAcentral.
UCCAGACUCCUACGGGAGGCAGCAGUGAGGAAUAUUGGUCAAUGGCCGGGAGGCUGAACCAGCCAAGUCGCGUGAGGGAAGACGGCCCUACGGGUUGUAAACCUCUUUUGUCAGGGAGCAAGGUGCAGGUCGGGACCUGCUGUGAGAGUACCUGAAGAAAAAGCAUCGGCUAACUCCGUGCCAGCAGCCGCGGUAAUACGGAGGAUGCGAGCGUUAUCCGGAUUUAUUGGGUUUAAAGGGUGCGCAGGCGGAGGCACAAGUCAGGGGUAAAAUCGCGGGGCUCAACCCCGCUCCGCCGUUGAAACUGACGGUCUUGAGUGGGCGAGAAGUAUGCGGAAUGCGUGGUGUAGCGGUGAAAUGCAUAGAUAUCACGCAGAACUCCGAUUGCGAAGGCAGCAUACCGGCGCCCAACUGACGCUGAAGCACGAAAGCGUGGGUAUCGAACAGGAUUAGAUACCCCUGUA